RNAcentral lists this ribosomal RNA (486 nucleotides) under uncultured bacterium. RNAcentral's name for it is "partial 16S ribosomal RNA". It matches the Rfam family "Bacterial small subunit ribosomal RNA", at positions 30 to 507 of the family's 1533-position model. The record is from RNAcentral.
AUUGAACGCUGGCGGCAUGCCUUACACAUGCAAGUCGAACGGCAGCACGGGUGCUUGCACCUGGUGGCGAGUGGCGAACGGGUGAGUAAUACAUCGGAACAUGUCCUGUAGUGGGGGAUAGCCCGGCGAAAGCCGGAUUAAUACCGCAUACGAUCUACGGAUGAAAGCGGGGGACCUUCGGGCCUCGCGCUAUAGGGUUGGCCGAUAGCUGAUUAGCUAGUUGGUGGGGUAAAGGCCUACCAAGGCGACGAUCAGUAGCUGGUCUGAGAGGACGACCAGCCACACUGGGACUGAGACACGGCCCAGACUCCUACGGGAGGCAGCAGUGGGGAAUUUUGGACAAUGGGCGAAAGCCUGAUCCAGCAAUGCCGCGUGUGUGAAGAAGGCCUUCGGGUUGUAAAGCACUUUUGUCCGGAAAGAAAUCCUUGGCUCUAACACAGUCGGGGGAUGACGGUACCGGAAGAAUAAGCACCGGCUAAUUACGUG